AGAGCGAACGCUGGCGGCAGGCCUAACACAUGCAAGUCGAGCGCCGUAGCAAUACGGAGCGGCAGACGGGAGAGUAACACGUGGGAACGUACCCUUUGGUUCGGAACAACCCAGGGAAACUUGGGCUAAUACCGAAUAAGCCCUUACGGGGAAAGAUUUAUCGCCGAAGGAUCGGCCCGCGUCUGAUUAGCUAGUUGGUGGGGUAACGGCCCACCAAGGCGACGAUCAGUAGCUGGUCUGAGAGGAUGAUCAGCCUCAUUGGGACUGAGACACGGCCCAAACUCCUACGGGAGGCAGCAGUGGGGAAUAUUGGACAAUGGGCGCAAGCCUGAUCCAGCCAUGCCGCGUGGGUGAUGAAGGCCCUAGGGUUGUAAAGCCCUUUCGGCGGGGAAGAGUAAUGACGGUACCCGCAGAAGAAGCCCCGGCUAACUUCGCGCCAGCAGCCGC
This 447-nucleotide ribosomal RNA is filed under the name uncultured bacterium. RNAcentral describes it as "SSU rRNA". It matches the Rfam family "Bacterial small subunit ribosomal RNA", at positions 26 to 518 of the family's 1533-position model. The record is from RNAcentral.